Molecule: transfer RNA, 66 nt
Filed under: Caliris sp. JZ-2017
Lineage: Eukaryota; Metazoa; Arthropoda; Insecta; Mantodea; Haaniidae
Description: tRNA-Ile
Source: RNAcentral
AGUAAAAUGCCUGAUUUAAAGGAUAUCGUGAUAGGAUGAAUAAUGUAAAUUUUUUUACUUUUACUA